CCUACGGGUUGCAGCAGUGGGGAAUAUUGGACAAUGGGCGAAAGCCUGAUCCAGCAAUGCCGCGUGAGUGAUGAAGGCCCUAGGGUUGUAAAGCUCUUUUACCCGGGAAGAUAAUGACUGUACCGGGAGAAUAAGCCCCGGCUAACUCCGUGCCAGCAGCCGCGGUAAUACGGAGGGGGCUAGCGUUGUUCGGAAUUACUGGGCGUAAAGCGCACGUAGGCGGCUUUGUAAGUCAGAGGUGAAAGCCUGGAGCUCAACUCCAGAACUGCCUUUGAGACUGCAUCGCUUGAAUCCAGGAGAGGUCAGUGGAAUUCCGAGUGUAGAGGUGAAAUUCGUAGAUAUUCGGAAGAACACCAGUGGCGAAGGCGGCUGACUGGACUGGUAUUGACGCUGAGGUGCGAAAGCGUGGGGAGCAAACAGGAUUAGAUACCCUUGUAGUC
Molecule: ribosomal RNA, 440 nt
Filed under: uncultured bacterium
Lineage: Bacteria
Description: bacterial SSU rRNA
Rfam family: Bacterial small subunit ribosomal RNA
Source: RNAcentral